AAGGCUACCCGCUGAACUUAAGCAUAU
This 27-nucleotide ribosomal RNA is filed under the name Osmundea pinnatifida. RNAcentral's name for it is "partial 28S ribosomal RNA". Lineage: Eukaryota; Rhodophyta; Florideophyceae; Ceramiales; Rhodomelaceae. The record is from RNAcentral.